CCCGGUUAACUGGAGGACAAGUGUUUUCACAGGCUGAGCAGCACCGACCAGGACGCCUGAACUGUGUUUGAAGAGUUUAACAUCAAAAAGACUAAUAAUGAUGAUGAUGAUGAUGAGUGCAAAUCAAACUUAGUGACUAAUCGGUCUGGACGCCAGCUUUUUCCUCCUGGCAGCGUCUCAAAGUCUUCUGGGAGCUCGGAGCCUGAUGGAGUCUGACAGCUGAUCUCCCCGAUGCAUAUUCACAAAAUGACCACGAAGGAGAACGAGAGGCGAGGCGCUUACAAGAGCAACGGAGAAACGAAGGAGCGUGGGAGAGCAGCUCACAGUCUUCUCCAGAGACAUAUCUACUGUUCAUAGACGCCACAUUGGACGCUUCAGCCCGUUGCGGCGAUACGUUAACGUGGGUGCCGUAGGGUUACAGGCCAGUCUUGCCAGGUCCAAUAUGGCGCCCACGUUGACGUAUGAUCCAGGAGUCAGUGCAGCGUCUACGUAUAUAUAUGUAUAUAUAUAUGUCUGUGGUCUUUCUCUACCUGCAGCUCUAGUUUACUAUCAUGCAACAUCUUUAAUCACUUAAAAACACAGCAGCUCAUUUCAUUCACAAUCACUAAUCCUAAUGCAGCUCAGAGGUCAGAGGUCAGAGGUCAGAGGUGAGCCUCCACCUGUGCACAUGAGCCUUUUCAUGUCUGAAUGAGUGAAGAGGGAAACACCCUUUCUGCCAUUCUGCUGCUCAUCUCAACCAGCUGGAACAACAGAGGGAGGGACGUUCCCACACUAUUAUUAUCAGGCUUCAUUCACUCCAGUCAAAGAGUCUGGAGUUACAGCGGGAGACAAGUGGACGUAACGUUCUGUCUUUACAUAAAGUACAAACCACUGCUCUUUACCAUUUUUAAAUUGAUGUUCUAAUGCCAGAAUAUAUCUGCUUCAUCUGAGUCUAUGUGGAGGUAGAAGGAAGUUACCGCUUUUAUUGUGGUAGUCUGAGUAACGUGACGUCAUAUCCGUUCCGUAUCCGUCAACCAAAACAAACCGUACCGAGCCGAGACGAGGAAGUAGAAAACGUCAGAGGGUCGUCGUGGAUACGACCUGCACCCUCACAUGUUAAAUCCAGCGUGGUAAACACUACACAUCCAGUAAAGGAUGGAAACACUUUGGGUUUCACACGUUGACAGGAAAAGCAGAGCUAGACAGAGCAGAGCUAAAGCUGCAUGCUAACUUCUAAAUAAAAAAGACCAAAAUAUGUCGGAAAAUAAGUCCGAACAAAAGUUGAAAAAAGACAGAAAAAAGCCGAAAUAUAUAUUAAAAAAAAAAGUAAGAAAAAAUGCCAAAUUAUGUCCGAAAUAUGGCCAAAACAAAAGUCCAAAAAUAGGCCGAGAUAUGUCUGAAAAAAUUCCAAAGUAUGUCCGAAAUAUGACGAAAAAAAGUCCAAAAAAAGGCAGAAAUAUGUCUGAAAAAUUCCAAGUAGCAGGAAACGUUAUGGUAUGGCCUCGUCUCCGUGGUCAAAUGGGCCGACGCUAUGACUGUAGAGCACCCAGAUACUGACAUUUAUAUUAAAUGCAUUCAAAUUUGGAGUCAAACUGCUGCAACUAAUGUCUAGUUCACACUGCACGGCUUUAGCCUUCGCACAUGUGUGAGCUCCUCGCCGACACUCGCCGACAUAUUCCAGAUAUCUAGCAUGCUAAAUAGCCGGACCUACAGCCAAUGAGAGCGUGAGACAUGGUUUGAGGGUAAACCUGGGGGAGGAGGAGGGGUUGCCUGUAGCAACAGGAACUUACUGGAUGUGCUGCAUUUACAACACGGAGCAAAGUUGUUGUUGCACCGAGAGGAAUAAAUAGUAAAAAAAUGUGCCAACAGAAACAUCAGCAAUGUGUCUCGCGUUUGGUAUCACGCCAUUUACCGUGUAUUUCUCGCGUGUUUUUCGUGACAAAACGUAGUUUGGAGACCUCAUCGGGGAUUGAAUGUCAUAAGAUAUUCAGUUUAAAAUGAUACCCUUGUUGUAUUUUUCGGGUCAAUCAGUGUCUGUUCCUGUUUGGAGUAAACCUCUUCCUGUUCUUUAUCCUUCAGUCUUAGUGGAGAGCAGUUCUUCCUGUUUGUGUUUUGUAUAUCUGUGCAGAGAGGAGAUGGCAGGAGAGGAUUUAAAACUGAAUGUGAGAGGAGUGUCGGAGGCCAGCAGAACCUGCACUUCAUCAGGAGCAUUUCCAACUGUGCAACCCAAGUCCUGCUGGCAGCGAGUACCUGGCCUCGUCUCUCAACACCUCCCUGCAGGACCUCCUGAGGCUGCGUGACGCACACAGCCGGGUCCGGGUUCAUCCGAACCCACAGAGCUGGAUUCAAUCAAACACAACAUCAAAAGAUGACGUGGUUUCAGGCUCAAAGUUCAGUCCUGAGCUGGUGAGUAUAGCACCAGAUAGUGAGGCCUGUGGAUUUCAUUUGUAUCGCAAGUGCUGGAUAUUAAUGUACAAGACACUGAUGUAUGGAGGACGAAAGCUAUUAAAGUUAUGCAUAAAGAAAAUAACAGAAAUAAAUAAGUUUGGGGAAAUAUAUAAGGGAAAAAUGUAAUAAACUGCAAUAAAUAAAUACAUAAAUAAAUCAAUUGGA
Sebastes umbrosus (honeycomb rockfish) is the source of this 2592-nucleotide long non-coding RNA. RefSeq lists it as uncharacterized. The transcript has 2 exons. The record is from RefSeq and is a predicted model, not a curated record. Lineage: Eukaryota; Metazoa; Chordata; Actinopteri; Perciformes; Sebastidae.